This 254-nucleotide ribosomal RNA is filed under the name uncultured bacterium. RNAcentral describes it as "partial 16S ribosomal RNA". It matches the Rfam family "Bacterial small subunit ribosomal RNA", at positions 524 to 776 of the family's 1533-position model. The record is from RNAcentral.
UACGGGGGGAGCAAGCGUUGUUCGGAUUUACUGGGCGUAAAGGGCGCGUAGGCGGCCACCGCAAGUCGGUUGUGAAAUCUCUGGGCUUAACCCAGAAAGGUCAACCGAUACUGCGGGGCUAGAGUGCAGAAGGGGCAACUGGAAUUCUCGGUGUAGCGGUGAAAUGCGUAGAUAUCGAGAGGAACACCUGCGGCGAAGGCGGGUUGCUGGGCUGACACUGACGCUGAAGCGCGAAAGCGAGGGGAGCGAACGGG